AAUGGGGGAAACCCUGAUCUAGCCAUGCCGCGUGAGUGACGAAGGCCCUAGGGUCGUAAAGCUCUUUCAACUGUGAAGAUAAUGACGGUAGCAGUAGAAGAAACCCCGGCUAACUCCGUGCCAGCAGCCGCGGUAAUACGGAGGGGGUUAGCGUUGUUCGGAAUUACUGGGCGUAAAGCGCGCGUAGGCGGACUAUUAAGUCAGGUGUGAAAGCCCCGAGCUCAACUUGGGAACUGCACUUGAUACUGAUAGGCUAGAAAACGGAAGAGGGCAGUGGAAUUCCCAGUGUAGAGGUGAAAUUCGUAGAUAUUGGGAAGAACACCAGUGGCGAAAGCGGCUGCCUGGUCCGAUUUUGACGCUGAGGCGCGAAAGCGUGGGUAGCAAACAGGAUU
This 392-nucleotide ribosomal RNA is filed under the name uncultured Gammaproteobacteria bacterium. Its description in RNAcentral is "bacterial SSU rRNA". It matches the Rfam family "Bacterial small subunit ribosomal RNA", at positions 370 to 779 of the family's 1533-position model. The record is from RNAcentral. Lineage: Bacteria; Pseudomonadati; Pseudomonadota; Gammaproteobacteria.